RNAcentral lists this small RNA (127 nucleotides) under Marmota monax (woodchuck). Lineage: Eukaryota; Metazoa; Chordata; Mammalia; Rodentia; Sciuridae. The record is from RNAcentral.
GCCGGGCACAGUGGCACAUGCCUGUAAUCCCAGCCACUCAGGAGGCUGAGGCAGGAAGAUUGCAAGUUCAAAGCCAGCCUGAGCAACUUAGCAAGGCCCUGAGCAACUUGGCAAGACCCUGUCUCAA